GACGAACGCUGGCGGCGUGCUUAACACAUGCAAGUCGAACGGAAAGGCCCUGCUUUUGUGGGGUGCUCGAGUGGCGAACGGGUGAGUAACACGUGAGUAACCUGCCCUUGACUUUGGGAUAACUUCAGGAAACUGGGGCUAAUACCGGAUAGGAUCUCCUGCUGCAUGGUGGGGGUUGGAAAGUUUCGGCGGUUGGGGAUGGACUCGCGGCUUAUCAGCUUGUUGGUGGGGUAGUGGCUUACCAAGGCUUUGACGGGUAGCCGGCCUGAGAGGGUGACCGGGCACAAUGGGACUGAGAUACGGACCAGACUCCUACGGGAGGCAGCAGUGGGGAAUAUUGCACAAUGGGCGGAAGCCUGAUGCGGAAACGCCGCGUGCGGGAUGACGGUCUUCGGGUUGUAAACCGCUUUCGCCUGUGACGAAGCGUGAGUGACGGUAAUGGGUAAAGAAGCACCGGCUAACUACGUG
Molecule: ribosomal RNA, 468 nt
Filed under: uncultured bacterium
Lineage: Bacteria
Description: partial 16S ribosomal RNA
Rfam family: Bacterial small subunit ribosomal RNA
Source: RNAcentral